Molecule: long non-coding RNA, 1697 nt
Organism: Astyanax mexicanus (Mexican tetra)
Lineage: Eukaryota; Metazoa; Chordata; Actinopteri; Characiformes; Acestrorhamphidae
Exons: 2
Source: RefSeq, a predicted model, not a curated record
CACAAAUAUGAUGUAAAACUAGGGGGUUUAAGCAAUGGUACAUUUCUAUACAGUUUAGAAUCUCAAUUAGGUCAACAUACUAGAUCACAUUAAAGGUGUGACAAAGUUAGUUUCCAGCCAGAUUCCUUCCCAAAUGAUUAAUUCCUGAUUAGCUAUUAUCUAGGACUCUAAAUGCAAAAAAUGCAUCCAGCAUUAAAGAGACAAAUUCUUGAAUGAGCUUCUUCUGCUUUACUGAACAGCUGAACACGUUUGGAGGAGAACACUAACUGCCAAUUAUGUCCCAUUAAUGAAUAAUACGCCUGGUUAACACUGAGUGACUGAUGAGAAGGGAUGGUCUAUGUGUGGCAGGAUGGGUGUUUUUGUCUGGUCAUCUGUAAGCAUUUGGGCUAAAUAAAGCUCUGUGUUAGAAUAUUAGUGAUUUGCUUACUUUUUCUACUUUAACUGACGUGGGUUGUUUACAAACAUCCAGCAAAUCUUUCCCUUUUUGUCAGCCGGCUGUGGGUGGUGUAAUUCCUGCGUGCCUAAUUCUAAUAUAUGGGUUGAUUGCCUUUAGUUCAUUGGCUGAAUAAUCUGACCUGGGACUAUAUGUAGGCCAGGUGGCUGUUACCUGGGACACACCCUCUGUGGUUCCCACCCCCCUUCCUCGGCGUGCUGCUGGGCGAGGUCUGCAGUUUGGCGUUUGGUGUGGCUGGGUGAAUGCUCUCCUUUGUCUUGGGAAUUCUCCCAAGCGUGCGGUAGGCUCAGUUUGUUUUUCGCUGUUUUCUCUGAUUAAUCCUGGUGCUGAGUGUUUCUCCUGCUCCAUUUCAGUGCUGAGGCAUUUGUGAGGAGAUUGCUCCGGUGGUUUAUGCCACGUGCAAAGGUUUCCGUCUGUGUGUGAAGCUACGAGAAGUGUUGUGACUUUCCCGCUGUCUGCCGUGGAGAAGUGAAGCCUUGGAAGCUGGGGUGGUGGAGUACGGGGAGUGUCCAAUACAGCUCUACCCGUGUGUGUGUGAGAUCACCUGUGUCCCCCUCUUCGCGGAGGCUCCUCCCCCUGCAUUAGUGCUUUUUUUUUUCUUUUUUUUUUUUUUUUUUUUUUUCUUUUAGGCUUUGUGGUUCUUUUCUAUUUUUCCCUUUGCUUAUUUUUGUUAUAUUUUGUGUUAAUUGUUUUGUAUGUCCAGACUCAAUCCUGGUGUGUGUGCUGCCUCCGGUGAGCUGUAGCGGACUGGUUUGCUUUUUUUUUUUUUCUGAACGCGCGCUGCAUGUGACUCAGCGCGCUGUGUGUGUGUGUGUCUGUGUAUGUGUUACUAUACUUCCUGGGUCCUGAGUUGCGCGCUGCUGCGGGAGGGAAAGCCUGUAUGGUCAGUAAGCGUGAUUUAUUUCUUUAUGUUGCCGGGCUGUGUAUGGUUUAGUUGUGUUGGUAUAAUUGUUUAUUUGAGUUAAUUUGUUUUUGUUUUCUUUUGUGUCCGAACAGGAGCUGGAAGCGGUGACAGGCUGCUGAGGUGUUGAAGUCUAACUGGGUGUGCUUAGUGGUGUUUGUGUGCUGUGUAGUGGGGACUCCUCUCACCUGCAGUUAGCACUGGUCACAGUGUGCUCCAGCCCUGUUCAGGUUUUGUUUUUGAUUUUUAGUGUUUGUGUUUCUUUUUGUAUUUAUUUAUUGAUUUAUUGGUUUUGUUUUUUUGUAAUAUUUGAUAUUUAUUAAAAGUUAUAUUUUUAAGUAA